Molecule: ribosomal RNA, 342 nt
Filed under: uncultured microorganism
Description: bacterial SSU rRNA
Rfam family: Bacterial small subunit ribosomal RNA
Source: RNAcentral
CCACAAUGGACGAAAGUCUGAUGGAGCGACGCCGCGUGCGGGAUGAAGGCCUUAUGGGUUGUAAACCGCUGUCAGGGGGGAAGAACAUCGGAAUGAACAAUACUCAUUCCGACUGACGUUACCCCCAGAGGAAGCUCCGGCCAACUCCGUGCCAGCAGCCGCGGUAAUACGGGGGAGCAAGCGUUGUCCGGAAUUAUUGGGCGUAAAGGGCGUGUAGGCGGCGAGGUAAGUCGAAUGUGAAAUCUCACGGCUCAACCGUGAAACUGCGUUCGAAAACUCCCUGCUUGAGUACGGGAGAGGUGUACGGGAUUCCUGGUGUAGCGGUGGAAUGCGUAGAUAUCG